GGCUGGUCCAAAGGUAGCGAGUUACCUCAACUGACUGUUCACAGUUAGUUACAAAUCAAACUCCUACUCUUUCUCGUCUUCUCACUACUGCACUUGACUAGGCUUUG
This 107-nucleotide Y RNA is filed under the name Microcebus murinus (gray mouse lemur). Its description in RNAcentral is "Y RNA (ENSMICG00000025626.3)". It matches the Rfam family "Y RNA". From Rfam's summary of the family: Y RNAs are components of the Ro ribonucleoprotein particle (Ro RNP), in association with Ro60 and La proteins. The Y RNAs and Ro60 and La proteins are well conserved, but the function of the Ro RNP is not known. In humans the RNA component can be one of four small RNAs -- hY1, hY3, hY4 and hY5. Lineage: Eukaryota; Metazoa; Chordata; Mammalia; Primates; Cheirogaleidae. The record is from Rfam by way of RNAcentral.